RNAcentral lists this ribosomal RNA (483 nucleotides) under uncultured bacterium. RNAcentral's name for it is "SSU rRNA". It matches the Rfam family "Bacterial small subunit ribosomal RNA", at positions 26 to 518 of the family's 1533-position model. The record is from RNAcentral.
AGGACGAACGCUGGCGGCGUGCUUAACACAUGCAAGUCGAACGAGGUCCAUCCGGUGGCAACACUGGAGAAGACCUAGUGGCGAACGGGUGAGUAACACGUGAGGAACCUGCCCCGAAGACCGGGAUAACAGCGGGAAACCGCUGCUAAUACCGGAUGCCCCCAUCGGGCCACAUGGUCUGAUAAGGAAAUGGAUUCCGCUUCGGGAGGGGCUCGCGGCCUAUCAGCUAGUUGGUGGGGUAACGGCCCACCAAGGCAUCGACGGGUAGCUGGUCUGAGAGGACGAUCAGCCACACUGGGACUGAGACACGGCCCAGACUCCUACGGGAGGCAGCAGUGGGGAAUCUUGCGCAAUGGGCGAAAGCCUGACGCAGCAACGCCGCGUGGAGGACGAAGGCUUUCUGAGUUGUAAACUCCUUUCAGCAGGGACGAUAGUGACGGUACCUGCAGAAGAAGCACCGGCCAACUACGUGUCAGCAGCCGC